CACAAAUUUUGAAAAGUAUAUUUUUGCUAUCAUAAACUUCCAGGAAUGGAAGUAAUGGAAUGGAAAUAAAAUACAUCACAGAUUUUUUAUUUAUUUUUUUGGUCUUAUAGAAAGAGGGCAAAAUCCUAAAAAAGUGAAGAAAUCUGAAAGAGCAUGGAUUUCUAUUUUUUCAUCAGAGCCCACUACAAUGAGAACUUCUCCAACAUCACUGAAGAUACGGGUGGACAAAAAAAUUGCUGGAAAUAGUCACCUGAUAGAAAACAAAUUUAUGGAGACCACUAAAACAAACAAUGGUGGUGUUUCUGAUGAAGACAGAUGUCAAGAUGGUUUUACUGAGGCAGAUUUAGCAACAAAUAACAUGGAUCUUCUCAACAAUGAGCAGGAAGAAUUUGAUGAAAGUCUACGAGAUGUUUUGAAAUGGAUUAGGCCUCUUCCUCCUCUACUGUCACCCAUACAGUUUUCACCUGUUACUACUCCGGACAGUUUAUUUGGAGAUAUCACAGACUCCAGUGAUGAUGAAAUGGAGCAGAAUGCGCAAACACUUGAAAAUAUUAUAGAAGAAUAUGAUGAGGACAAACCAGCAUCUAAAACUUUGCAUUUGACAGAAUUUUGCUCACAAGUUUUAAAACACAGCAGUGUAAAGACUCAUCUACAGGAAUCACAUGAAAGAUCCAAAAAAUUAGAAAACGAAAAAUUGAUGUUGUCAUCUGAUUCUAUGCUCAGAGCAUCAGAAUACCUUCAUGAGAACAAUACUACAAAGAAGGUAGAAAAACACCUGAAAGAAGAUUCUGACUUUGAACAAAUACACACAGCCCCUGAAACAAUAUCUCCCAGUACAGAGAAACUCUGUGAAAAAAUGAUUAGCAAAACAGAAACAAAAAGUCGAAUCUUCAUUGGACAUGUAUUGGAAGAGACUAAUGAUUUCAUUGAAAAGGAGGAAAAGAAGAGGUUAAUUGAAACAAAAGAAGAUGGUUGGGGUCAAGGACCCAAAGGCAGUGAAGAACAGCAAACCAAAGAACCUAUUUUAACUGCUGAAAACAUACCAGUGAUUUGUAAAAAUGUGAAGGAUCCUUCUAAUUAUAAAGAAGGAAGAGUGAGGGAAAACGUUUUUGAGGACCACCAGACAGAAUCUUACUCAGAAAAAGCAAGCCUACUUUGUGAAAAGCACAUUGAACAUAUAGCAGUAAAAGGACAAUAUGCAGCAGCUCAAAGAAAUAAUGACCCAUUAAUAGAGGGGGAAAAGAAUAUCAGUAAUUGUGAAUUCCUCCCUGAAACAAAUCUUAGUGAAAGAGUUGAGCAACCGGGUGCCAGCAUAACAUGUACAGAAUUUAUCGAAAAGAAUAUUAAUUCUUUGGAUGCAUCUAACAAACCUCAUUCUGUAGUGAAGAUAUGCAACCAACAAAAUGGAAGUGAGGUAAAUGGAAAGAAGCAAGCUGAUAUUGUAACAUUAACUGAGGGUUUGAAGCAAUCUUAUCAUAGCGGCGAAAUAAUUGAGGCCAUGAAUGAUAGGUCGAGGAAAAAUGUGUGUGAUGGAGCUAGUGAAGGGACAAAGUUAGAAGAUACACCAAAGGAAGAACACCUACAGUUAGAACGGUUACUUGAUGAAAAAAUGUAUAUUAAAUCAACACAAGAGGAAUUAACUUGCAAAAGUAGUACCAACAAGUUACCAACCCAAACAUCUACUGCUAAAGACUCUUUGUUGAAAUCUGAGGGACUUACUGAAAUAAGUCAAGUAUCCCUUAAAUUACACCAUGUCACUGAAAAUGCUUCUCAAGUGGGACAAGUUGAAAAUGCAAACAUUACACCCAAAAACAUGUGCAAAGUAGAAAGAAUUGGGAUUAGUUUAAAUAGUCACAUGGAAGACUUAAAUCCACUAAGAAAAAGGCUUAUGAAGAUAAAUUGUGAAUCAAGAAAACUCACUGAAGUGGAAACUAUACAAUCUCUUAAAGCAGGAUUAAGUGAAAAAGACUCACCUGGUUUGAUGCAUGGACAUUUACAAAUUGAAAAAAAUAGCUCAAUGGUCAUAAAUGAACUACCUGAUACAAAAAAGUAUGCCAUGGAAGAAAAGGGGCUGAAUUAUGAUUAUUCUGUAUCAAAUGAAGUAGCUUCAGCACAGAACAUGAGCAAUGAUACAGUUCAACCAAUGCAAAAUAUAUCACAGAGAAAAAAUGAAGAAAUUGAAUCAGCCUUGUCUGUUGUUAUGACAAGUGAUUCUGAGGCAAAAAUAGAAUCUAUGGAUGUUGAUU
RNAcentral lists this long non-coding RNA (2246 nucleotides) under Notechis scutatus (mainland tiger snake). Its description in RNAcentral is "lncRNA (ENSNSUG00000010238.1)". The record is from RNAcentral. Lineage: Eukaryota; Metazoa; Chordata; Lepidosauria; Squamata; Elapidae.